UCGGGGCAUGCAGACUCCCGGCAAUCCCAAGACGGUUUUCCGUCCAAGCUCUGC
This 54-nucleotide non-coding RNA is filed under the name unclassified sequences. RNAcentral describes it as "chromate-resist RNA". It matches the Rfam family "chrB-b RNA". The record is from RNAcentral.